ACGUGAGUAACCUGCCCUUGACUCUGGGAUAAGCCUGGGAAACUGGGUCUAAUACCGGAUAUGACCUUUCACCGCAUGGUGGGGGGUGGAAAGCUUUUGUGGUUUUGGAUGGACUCGCGGCCUAUCAGCUUGUUGGUGGGGUAAUGGCCUACCAAGGCGAUGACGGGUAGCCGGCCUGAGAGGGUGACCGGCCACACUGGGACUGAGACACGGCCCAGACUCCUACGGGAGGCAGCAGUGGGGAAUAUUGCACAAUGGGCGCAAGCCUGAUGCAGCGACGCCGCGUGAGGGAUGACGGCCUUCGGGUUGUAAACCUCUUUCAGUAGGGAAGAAGCGAAAGUGACGGUACCUGCAGAAGAAGCGCCGGCUAACUACGUGCCAGCAGCCGCGGUAAUACGUAGGGCGCAAGCGUUAUCCGGAAUUAUUGGGCGUAAAGAGCUCGUAGGCGGUUUGUCGCGUCUGCUGUGAAAGACCGGGGCUCAACUCCGGUUCUGCAGUGGGUACGGGCAGACUAGAGUGAUGUAGGGGAGACUGGAAUUCCUGGUGUAGCGGUGAAAUGCGCAGAUAUCAGGAGGAACACCGAUGGCGAAGGCAGGUCUCUGGGCAUUAACUGACGCUGAGGAGCGAAAGCAUGGGGAGCGAACAGGAUUAGAUACCCUGGUAGUCCAUGCCGUAAACGUUGGGCACUAGGUGUGGGGGACAUUCCACGUUUUCCGCGCCGUAGCUAACGCAUUAAGUGCCCCGCCUGGGGAGUACGGCCGCAAGGCUAAAACUCAAAGGAAUUGACGGGGGCCCGCACAAGCGGCGGAGCAUGCGGAUUAAUUCGAUGCAACGCGAAGAACCUUACCAAGGCUUGACAUGGACCGGACCGCCCUGGAAACAGGGUUUCCCUUCGGGGCCGGUUCACAGGUGGUGCAUGGUUGUCGUCAGCUCGUGUCGUGAGAUGUUGGGUUAAGUCCCGCAACGAGCGCAACCCUCGUUCCAUGUUGCCAGCGGGUUAUGCCGGGGACUCAUGGGAGACUGCCGGGGUCAACUCGGAGGAAGGUGGGGACGACGUCAAAUCAUCAUGCCCCUUAUGUCUUGGGCUUCACGCAUGCUACAAUGGCCGGUACAAUGGGUUGCGAUACUGUGAGGUGGAGCUAAUCCCAAAAAGCCGGUCUCAGUUCGGAUUGGGGUCUGCAACUCGACCCCAUGAAGUCGGAGUCGCUAGUAAUCGCAGAUCAGCAACGCUGCGGUGAAUACGUUCCCGGGCCUUGUACACACCGCCCG
Molecule: ribosomal RNA, 1269 nt
Filed under: Arthrobacter sp. C3-2
Lineage: Bacteria; Bacillati; Actinomycetota; Actinomycetes; Micrococcales; Micrococcaceae
Description: bacterial SSU rRNA
Rfam family: Bacterial small subunit ribosomal RNA
Source: RNAcentral